RNAcentral lists this ribosomal RNA (2331 nucleotides) under human gut metagenome. RNAcentral describes it as "bacterial LSU rRNA". It matches the Rfam family "Bacterial large subunit ribosomal RNA", at positions 614 to 2925 of the family's 2925-position model. The record is from RNAcentral.
AAUGGGUCAGCGACUUAUAUUCUGUAGCAAGGUUAACCGUAUAGGGGAGCCGAAGGGAAACCGAGUCUUAACUGGGCGUUAAGUUGCAGGGUAUAGACCCGAAACCCGGUGAUCUAGCCAUGGGCAGGUUGAAGGUUGGGUAACACUAACUGGAGGACCGAACCGACUAAUGUUGAAAAAUUAGCGGAUGACCUGUGGCUGGGGGUGAAAGGCCAAUCAAACCGGGAGAUAGCUGGUUCUCCCCGAAAGCUAUUUAGGUAGCGCCUCGUGAACUCAUCUUCGGGGGUAGAGCACUGUUUCGGCUAGGGGGCCAUCCCGGCUUACCAACCCGAUGCAAACUACGAAUACCGAAGAAUGUUAUCACGGGAGACACACGGCGGGUGCUAACGUCCGUCGUGAAGAGGGAAACAACCCAGACCGCCAGCUAAGGUCCCAAAGUCAUGGUUAAGUGGGAAACGAUGUGGGAAGGCACAGACAGCCAGGAUGUUGGCUUAGAAGCAGCCAUCAUUUAAAGAAAGCGUAAUAGCUCACUGGUCGAGUCGGCCUGCGCGGAAGAUGUAACGGGGCUAAACCAUGCACCGAAGCUGCGGCAGCGACACUAUGUGUUGUUGGGUAGGGGAGCGUUCUGUAAGCCUGCGAAGGUGGCCUGUGAGGGUUGCUGGAGGUAUCAGAAGUGCGAAUGCUGACAUAAGUAACGAUAAAGCGGGUGAAAAGCCCGCUCGCCGGAAGACCAAGGGUUCCUGUCCAACGUUAAUCGGGGCAGGGUGAGUCGACCCCUAAGGCGAGGCCGAAAGGCGUAGUCGAUGGGAAACAGGUUAAUAUUCCUGUACUUGGUGUUACUGCGAAGGGGGGACGGAGAAGGCUAUGUCAGCCGGGCGACGGUUGUCCCGGUUUAAGCAUGUAGGCGGAGGUUCCAGGUAAAUCCGGUACCUUUUAACGCUGAGGUGUGAUGACGAGGCACUACGGUGCUGAAGUGAUAAAUGCCCUGCUUCCAGGAAAAGCCUCUAAGCAUCAGGUAACAUUAAAUCGUACCCCAAACCGACACAGGUGGUCAGGUAGAGAAUACCAAGGCGCUUGAGAGAACUCGGGUGAAGGAACUAGGCAAAAUGGUGCCGUAACUUCGGGAGAAGGCACGCUGAUAUGUAGGUGAAGCCCCUGCGGGUGGAGCUGAAAUCAGUCGAAGAUACCAGCUGGCUGCAACUGUUUAUUAAAAACACAGCACUGUGCAAACACGAAAGUGGACGUAUACGGUGUGACGCCUGCCCGGUGCCGGAAGGUUAAUUGAUGGGGUUAUCGCAAGAGAAGCUCCUGAUCGAAGCCCCGGUAAACGGCGGCCGUAACUAUAACGGUCCUAAGGUAGCGAAAUUCCUUGUCGGGUAAGUUCCGACCUGCACGAAUGGCAUAAUGAUGGCCAGGCUGUCUCCACCCGAGACUCAGUGAAAUUGAAAUCGCCGUGAAGAUGCGGUGUACCCGCGGCUAGACGGAAAGACCCCGUGAACCUUUACUAUAGCUUGACACUGAACAUUGAGCCUUGAUGUGUAGGAUAGGUGGGAGGCUUUGAAGCGUGGACGCCAGUCUGCGUGGAGCCAACCUUGAAAUACCACCCUUUAAUGUUUGAUGUUCUAACGUUGGCCCCUAAUCGGGGUUGCGGACAGUGUCUGGUGGGUAGUUUGACUGGGGCGGUCUCCUCCCAAAGAGUAACGGAGGAGCACGAAGGUUGGCUAAUCCUGGUCGGACAUCAGGAGGUUAGUGCAAUGGCAUAAGCCAGCUUGACUGCGAGCGUGACGGCGCGAGCAGGUGCGAAAGCAGGUCAUAGUGAUCCGGUGGUUCUGAAUGGAAGGGCCAUCGCUCAACGGAUAAAAGGUACUCCGGGGAUAACAGGCUGAUACCGCCCAAGAGUUCAUAUCGACGGCGGUGUUUGGCACCUCGAUGUCGGCUCAUCACAUCCUGGGGCUGAAGUAGGUCCCAAGGGUAUGGCUGUUCGCCAUUUAAAGUGGUACGCGAGCUGGGUUUAGAACGUCGUGAGACAGUUCGGUCCCUAUCUGCCGUGGGCGCUGGAGAAUUGAGGGGGGCUGCUCCUAGUACGAGAGGACCGGAGUGGACGCAUCACUGGUGUUCGGGUUGUCAUGCCAAUGGCACUGCCCGGUAGCUAAAUGCGGAAGAGAUAAGUGCUGAAAGCAUCUAAGCACGAAACUUGCCCCGAGAUGAGUUCUCCCUGAGACCUUGAGUCUCCUGAAGGAACGUUGAAGACGACGACGUUGAUAGGUCGGGUGUGUAAGCGCAGCGAUGCGUUGAGCUAACCGAUACUAAUGAACCGUGAGGCUUAACCUU